RNAcentral lists this ribosomal RNA (1005 nucleotides) under uncultured Campylobacterota bacterium. RNAcentral's name for it is "bacterial SSU rRNA". It matches the Rfam family "Bacterial small subunit ribosomal RNA", at positions 141 to 1170 of the family's 1533-position model. Lineage: Bacteria; Pseudomonadati; Campylobacterota. The record is from RNAcentral.
GGAUAGGCACUGGAAACGGUGAUUAAUACCUCAUACUCCUUCUUUCUUAAUGAGAGUUGGGAAAUGUUUUUUCGCUAAGGGAUAAGACUAUAUGGUAUCAGGUAGUUGGUGGGGUAAGAGCCUACCAAGCCAAUGACGCCUAGCUGGUCUGAGAGGAUGAUCAGCCACACUGGAACUGAGACACGGUCCAGACUCCUACGGGAGGCAGCAGUGGGGAAUAUUGCACAAUGGAGGAAACUCUGAUGCAGCAACGCCGCGUGGAGGAUGACGCAUUUCGGUGUGUAAACUCCUUUUAUAUGGGAAGAUAAUGACGGUACCAUAUGAAUAAGCACCGGCUAACUCCGUGCCAGCAGCCGCGGUAAUACGGAGGGUGCAAGCGUUACUCGGAAUCACUGGGCGUAAAGCGCGCGCAGGCGGCCUGAUAAGUUGGAUGUGAAAGCCUACGGCUCAACCGUAGAACUGCAUCCAAAACUGUCAGGCUAGAGUGUGGGAGAGGAAGAUGGAAUUAGUUGUGUAGGGGUAAAAUCCGUAGAGAUAACUAGGAAUACCAAAAGCGAAGGCAAUCUUCUGGAACACUACUGACGCUGAGGCGCGAAAGCGUGGGGAGCAAACGGGAUUAGAUACCCCGGUAGUCCACGCAGUAAACGAUGAAUGUUAGUCGUCGGGUAGCUAGUCUAUUCGGUGAUGCAGCUAACGCAUUAAACAUUCCGCCUGGGGAGUACGGUCGCAAGAUUAAAACUCAAAGGAAUAGACGGGGACCCGCACAAGUGGUGGAGCAUGUGGUUUAAUUCGAAGAUACGCGAAGAACCUUACCUAGCCUUGACUUUAUUAAAAUCUUUCAGAGAUGAGAGAGUGCCUUCGGGAGCUUUUAACAGGUGCUGCACGGCUGUCGUCAGCUCGUGCCUGGAAAUGUUGGGUUAAGUCCCGCAACGAGCCGCACCCUCGUCACUAGUUACUAACGGUUCGGCCAAGGACUCUAUGGAACUGCCUUCCCAAGGAGAAGGA